This 845-nucleotide unclassified non-coding RNA is filed under the name Hevea brasiliensis (rubber tree). Lineage: Eukaryota; Viridiplantae; Streptophyta; Magnoliopsida; Malpighiales; Euphorbiaceae. The record is from RNAcentral.
CAGAGAGGGAAAUGACUGACAUUCACCGAUAUAAUUUUAAAAAUGGAAAGCAGCAGAAGAAAGGUGCACUUGUAUGGAUAUAUGUUCUUUCAAGUUUUUAGGACAUUUGAUUUCCCUAUGGCUGUUCGUUAGCCAUUGUUUGCAGAGCUUGCACAAAGGAAAAUGCUUGUGGACUGUGCAUUGUAAGAUAUUCUUUUUGAUCAGUCAGUAGCUCCGGCUUCAGGUCUCUUGCUGUUUACUCUGGAAAGCAUUGAACACUAUUUGUAGUCUAACUUGGGUGACUUGUACCUUUCCUUGCUUUUUAUACCAGAGGGUACGUAUAUUAAAUAAUUCUCGUUGAUGGCUCACUCUUGAUAUUCAGAACAUCAAAACUUUCUUGCUGAUAGAAAAUUGAUAUUUUUAGCAGUGUUCCUAAAUGAAAUCUAAUAGUUUCAUCCAGUUUGGCCUCAAACAUCUGGUUUAAUGGAAAUGGACUAUAUUCAAAUGCUAGUGUGGUGUGCCUGUUGAGCAACUUAUCUCAGGCUUUCAUCUCCUUUUGAUGAUAUUGGUGCUUGGAAACAAGGAUUUGGAAUGCGAGGAUGCGGAAGGACUGCUUUUGCUGUUGUAGAGACAGGUUCGAGGACUUGAAGAUCCCAUGGCAUGAAUUAUAUUUGGGAAAAAAAAAAUGGAAAUUCUGUAAUUUUCCAUUAAAUUGGGUAAAUUGCCAGAAAACCAGUUGUUGGACUUUGAUGGUUCUCAAAAUAAAUCUGACUGUUGCAUAAUUAUGUAGUUUCCAUUAUAUUGUAUAAUUUUCCAUUUUAAUGUGUAAGUUAUCAUUAGAUUGUAUAUUGGAGACAGAUACAAAU